CGCCGUGGCUGGCCCAACUGCAGAUUGUGCCCUCUCUGUAAGCAUGCACAGGAGUCUGUUGCUCACCUACUCUUCUAAUGCCGCUUCACAUUGUGCAUUUGGAACGACAUCCUACUGUGGCUUGGAAUGCACCACAUCUCUACUACUUCAUGGUCAACGAGCGCUUCGGUCCAAGGAUGGUGGAACGAUAACCUUCAGAUUCGUCUCGGCUCCCCCAAAGCCCUUGCCUCAUUGAUGAUUCUCAUCUCAUGGGAGAUUUGGUCCGCGAGAAAUGCUAGAGUCUUCCACAACGUGGCGGUCCCUUCGGUGGUCAUCAUUAAUAAGAUCAAGCAUGAGGUGUCGCUCUGGGUUUUGGUGGGUGCCAAGCACUUAGGUAUUGUAAUGCCGCGAGAGUAG
RNAcentral lists this ribosomal RNA (396 nucleotides) under Triticum aestivum (bread wheat). Its description in RNAcentral is "partial small subunit ribosomal RNA". Lineage: Eukaryota; Viridiplantae; Streptophyta; Magnoliopsida; Poales; Poaceae. The record is from RNAcentral.